CCAGACUCCUACGGGAGGCAGCAGUCGGGAAUAUUGCGCAAUGGAGGAAACUCUGACGCAGUGACGCCGCGUAUAGGAGGAAGGUUUUCGGAUUGUAAACUAUUGUCCACAGGGAAGAUAAAAGACUGUACCUGUGAAGAAAGCUCCGGCUAACUACGUGCCAGCAGCCGCGGUAAUACGUAGGGAGCGAGCGUUGUCCGGAAUUACUGGGUGUAAAGGGAGCGUAGGCGGGACUGCAAGUUGGGUGUCAAAUCUACCGGCUCAACCGGUAGCCGCACUCAAAACUGCAGUUCUUGAGUGAAGUAGAGGCAGGCGGAAUUCCUAGUGUAGCGGUGAAAUGCGUAGAUAUUAGGAGGAACACCAGUGGCGAAGGCGGCUUACUGGACUGUAACUGACGUUGAGGCUCGAAAGCGUGGGGAGCAAACAGGAUUAGAUACCCGGGUAC
Molecule: ribosomal RNA, 445 nt
Filed under: uncultured bacterium
Lineage: Bacteria
Description: bacterial SSU rRNA
Rfam family: Bacterial small subunit ribosomal RNA
Source: RNAcentral